GGUGGGUCCCUGGCUAGGGCUCCACCCCCAUGAAUCUAGGGGUGCUCAAUGUCAUCACAAGGGUCCUUAAGAGGGAAAGAGGAAGCCAUGAGGGUCAGAGUCAAAGGAAGACUUGAAGAUACUACACUGAGGACUUUAAAGAUGAAGGAAGGGGCGAAAACCAAGAAUGUGGGAAGCCUCUAGAAGCUAGAGAAGGCAAGGAAACAGAUUUUCCACUAGAGCCUCCAGAAGGAACACAGCCCUGCUGACCCACUGUAAUGUCUGACCUCUAGAUGUGUAAGGGUAGUAAGACUGAAAGUCUCAGAAAGGCACUGUUACAUUCUUAUUCCACAACCAUGCAACUCAAAACUGGGGUCCUCAGCAAUGAGCGAGGGGCGAGAGAAGGCACUGUAUAAACAUGGCACAUCCUCCUGGAAAGUCAACUUUACUCAAAGGUUCUUACACACAGUGACAGCUAGCAGAGUCUAAAGUGCUGACAUUAUGACUUAGAGAUGUGAUAAAGAGAAACAUCUAUUGCAUUUUCUUGGCUCGUGUGGAAUGACUUAUCCUGGAAUUUAGAGUUGAAGAUAAUCCUGAUGCUUCAAAGAGAAGAGUUGGAACACAGUCCUUUUUCUAAACAGAGGAAUUGUUGAAUAUGCAACUGGUCCUCUGACUUAACUAAUUAUUUAAUUUGGAAGUUAUAGGCUUUUUAUCACUUGAGGAGCAGCUUUCUCUGAACAAAUACAGUGUCCCCUGGGGUGUCCAAAAUUGUGACAGAAAAGUAGCGCCAGCUUGAAAUUAGCUAGUCAUCACACAGUGGCGUCAUGUGAAUGAAGACUCCCCCAAAUCUAUGACUCUCUUCUAUCCUUAUGAACUAAUUCAAUAAAUAAAUGAGCACUUUCUCAGUUCCCAAACUGAGAGCAGUUUUAAAAAAUAAUGAGAGCCCAGAUAUCUAUUUAGAGAGAUGGCGAGACAGAGGAGAGAGCAAGUUGCACACCACGAAACAAAGGGAAAGAUAAGAAGAGAGAGUGUGUCACUACUUCCCCGUGGCAGAAUCACAAUCUUCUUUUGGAUGUCAUGUUGAAAAGAUUCCCAAUUCGUAGUUCUGUGAGCUAAAGCAGAUGGAUGCUCCAUGUUGGUACAAAUUCCUAUUUGAAGCAGUGUGGUUGCAAAGAUGGGGUUUGGGUCAUUUGAUUUUCUCUGAAAAACAAUCUUGUGUAACUGUUAAAAGAAUUUAUAAUACCCAAUGCAAUGUAUCAUCCAUGAUGCUUCUUCAAAAAUGUUAAAUAAAUGCUGAAACCAGUGUUUCAAA
This 1291-nucleotide long non-coding RNA is filed under the name Pongo abelii (Sumatran orangutan). Its description in RNAcentral is "lincRNA". Lineage: Eukaryota; Metazoa; Chordata; Mammalia; Primates; Hominidae. The record is from RNAcentral.